This 346-nucleotide unclassified non-coding RNA is filed under the name fungal sp. RNAcentral describes it as "partial internal transcribed spacer region". The stretch from base 1 to 46 matches the Rfam family "Eukaryotic small subunit ribosomal RNA", at positions 1786 to 1831 of the family's 1831-position model. The record is from RNAcentral. Lineage: Eukaryota; Fungi.
AAGUCGUAACAAGGUUUCCGUAGGUGAACCUGCGGAAGGAUCAUUUCUGAACUAAGGUUUGAUUCUGAGUUUUUUUCUUUGGAAAAGAACAAAGAAUCUCUCCUUAUCAAAGAGAGUGUGUGGUAUAAAUGAAAAGGAAAUUAAAAAGUUAUCGGGUACUCAUGUAUUUGAGUACUCGUUUCUUUUCUUUCCUAAUCUUACUUUAUGAACCAAAACAAGUUACUUUUUUGUUCAAAACAAAAAUUUAAUUUUUUCUUUUCUUGGCGUUCAUUUUGAACAAAAAGGAAAACAAAAAAUUAUACAAAAAAAUGACAUACAACUGUCAACGGUGGAUCUCUUGGCUCGU